RNAcentral lists this ribosomal RNA (492 nucleotides) under uncultured bacterium. RNAcentral describes it as "partial 16S ribosomal RNA". It matches the Rfam family "Bacterial small subunit ribosomal RNA", at positions 29 to 507 of the family's 1533-position model. The record is from RNAcentral.
AGUGAACGCUGGCGGUAGGCCUAACACAUGCAAGUCGAACGGCAGCACAGUAAGAGCUUGCUCUUACGGGUGGCGAGUGGCGGACGGGUGAGGAAUACAUCGGAAUCUACUUUUUCGUGGGGGAUAACGUAGGGAAACUUACGCUAAUACCGUAUACGACCUACGGGUGAAAGCAGGGGAUCUUCGGACCUUGCGCGAUUGAAUGAGCCGAUGUCGGAUUAGCUAGUUGGCGGGGUAAAGGCCCACCAAGGCGACGAUCCGUAGCUGGUCUGAGAGGAUGAUCAGCCACACUGGAACUGAGACACGGUCCAGACUCCUACGGGAGGCAGCAGUGGGGAAUAUUGGACAAUGGGCGCAAGCCUGAUCCAGCCAUACCGCGUGGGUGAAGAAGGCCUUCGGGUUGUAAAGCCCUUUUGUUGGGAAAGAAAAGCAGCAGGUUAAUACCCCGCUGUUCUGACGGUACCCAAAGAAUAAGCGCCGGCUAACUUCGCG